RNAcentral lists this transfer RNA (74 nucleotides) under Rhodoglobus aureus. RNAcentral describes it as "tRNA-Gly". It matches the Rfam family "tRNA". Rfam says of the family: Transfer RNA (tRNA) molecules are approximately 80 nucleotides in length. Their secondary structure includes four short double-helical elements and three loops (D, anti-codon, and T loops). Further hydrogen bonds mediate the characteristic L-shaped molecular structure. tRNAs have two regions of fundamental functional importance: the anti-codon, which is responsible for specific mRNA codon recognition, and the 3' end, to which the tRNAs corresponding amino acid is attached (by aminoacyl-tRNA synthetases). tRNAs cope with the degeneracy of the genetic code in two manners: having more than one tRNA (with a specific anti-codon) for a particular amino acid; and 'wobble' base-pairing, i.e. permitting non-standard base-pairing at the 3rd anti-codon position. RNAcentral also lists the same sequence under 25 other names. Lineage: Bacteria; Bacillati; Actinomycetota; Actinomycetes; Micrococcales; Microbacteriaceae. The record is from RNAcentral.
GGGGAUGUAGCUUAAUGGUAAAGCCUCAGUCUUCCAAACUGAUGACCGGAGUUCGAUUCUCCGUAUCCCCUCCA